Molecule: non-coding RNA, 266 nt
Organism: Cinara cedri
Lineage: Eukaryota; Metazoa; Arthropoda; Insecta; Hemiptera; Aphididae
Source: the annotation of a GenBank genome assembly
UAUUUUGUAGAUAUUCCAUAUUUUUUCGACGUUUCUCCCCGCCCCAAAUUAUUCAGAAAACUAUAGGACAGUUAAAAAAAUAAUCUCCUCAAUGAACUAAUUAGAUAAACUUAUCUGGCUACCAGAAAUAAUCAAUCGCUCCCGUAAAUCGAUAGUCAUCAGAUUUAUAUACGACGGCGUAUUUACAAACCUUAUCUGAGUUCGGCCCAAUUGUUAUGCAUAAAUAUGUAACCCGUCGUAGUUCUUCACCGUGUAUGGGUUUUUGA